Molecule: microRNA, 22 nt
Filed under: Ornithorhynchus anatinus (platypus)
Lineage: Eukaryota; Metazoa; Chordata; Mammalia; Monotremata; Ornithorhynchidae
Description: Oan-Mir-7423_5p* (star (passenger))
Source: RNAcentral
UAUUUUUGUCCUCUUGUCCAGG